This 518-nucleotide long non-coding RNA is filed under the name Trifolium pratense (red clover). RNAcentral's name for it is "long non-coding RNA (TPRA_LNC010987)". Lineage: Eukaryota; Viridiplantae; Streptophyta; Magnoliopsida; Fabales; Fabaceae. The record is from RNAcentral.
UCCAACCCAUGAAUCAUUUUGUAUCAUGAUAGGCUUGAGACAGGGUUUCAAAUUUGAAGAGGUAAAAGCUAAGGAAUAAAACCUCAUAUCAAAUCAUGUAGUAUUAGAUUUCUCAAAUCAAACUUUCACAUUUACUUAACUAUUAGUAUUUAAUUAGAACCAGUUGAGUAAAUAGCAAUCAAAAUUUAACAAUUUACAACCAACCAUUUGAUUCCAAAUAUCAUUUUCAAUAUUUGAAUUUGGAUACACAAAAAGUUAAUGAUUCCCAAUGAUUUUCUUAAGCCAAAUUUCUGUGCAGUAACAUCACGAAGCAAGGUUAUUUAUAAUGAAAUACUAGUAAAUUAAAAGGGUAAUGAAGAUUUUUUUUCUAGUACCUCUGAGGGAACCAUUGGUGCAUUUACUGCAGUAGAAGCAAGCUCCCCUUUCAAGGCCCCAACUACAGCUUCGGCUAUUUCAAUAGCCACACCUUCCUGGUAAUCAUUUUGAAAGGUUAUUAGACAUAAUCAUGAGCAAUUGUU